GGGGCUGAUUCUGGAUUCGACGGGAUUUGCGAAACCCAAGGUGCAUGCCGAGGGGCGGUUGGCCUCGUAAAAAGCCGCAAAAAAUAGUCGCAAACGACGAAAACUACGCUUUAGCAGCUUAAUAACCUGCUUAGAGCCCUCUCUCCCUAGCCUCCGCUCUUAGGACGGGGAUCAAGAGAGGUCAAAUCCAAAAGAGAUCGCGUGGAAGCCCUGCCUGGGGUUGAAGCGUUAAAACUUAAUCAGGCUAGUUUGUUAGUGGCGUGUCCGUCCGCAGCUGGCAAGCGAAUGUAAAGACUGACUAAGCAUGUAGUACCGAGGAUGUAGGAAUUUCGGACGCGGGUUCAACUCCCGCCAGCUCCACCA
Molecule: transfer-messenger RNA, 363 nt
Filed under: Escherichia coli
Lineage: Bacteria; Pseudomonadati; Pseudomonadota; Gammaproteobacteria; Enterobacterales; Enterobacteriaceae
Also listed under: 1 other name
Description: Standard tmRNA
Rfam family: transfer-messenger RNA
About the family: Bacterial tmRNA, also known as 10Sa RNA or SsrA, is named for its dual tRNA and mRNA-like properties. Its role is to liberate the mRNA from a stalled ribosome.
Source: RNAcentral